Molecule: ribosomal RNA, 506 nt
Filed under: uncultured bacterium
Lineage: Bacteria
Description: partial 16S ribosomal RNA
Rfam family: Bacterial small subunit ribosomal RNA
Source: RNAcentral
AGUGAACGCUGGCGGUAGGCCUAACACAUGCAAGUCGAACGGCAGCACAGAGGAGCUUGCUCCUUGGGUGGCGAGUGGCGGACGGGUGAGGAAUACAUCGGAAUCUACUCUGUCGUGGGGGAUAACGUAGGGAAACUUACGCUAACACCGCAUACGACCUACGGGUGAAAGCAGGGGAUCUUCGGACCUUGCGCGAUUGAAUGAGCCGAUGUCGGAUUAGCUAGUUGGCGGGGUAAAGGCCCACCAAGGCGACGAUCCGUAGCUGGUCUGAGAGGAUGAUCAGCCACACUGGAACUGAGACGCGGUCCAGACUCCUACGGGAGGCAGCAGUGGGGAAUAUUGGACAAUGGGCGCAAGCCUGAUCCAGCCAUACCGCGUGGGUGAAGAAGGCCUUCGGGUUGUAAAGCCCUUUUGUUGGGAAAGAAAUCCAUCUGGUUAAUACCCGGGUGGGAUGACGGUACCCAAAGAAUAAGCACCGGCUAACUUCGUGCCAGCCGCCGCAGUAA